CUCCUCCGGGGGUCGCACUGGGAAUGUUCCACAAUCGACGAAAGUAUGAUGGAGCAACGCCGCGUGAGUGAAGAAGGGGUUUGGCUCGUAAAACUCUGUUGUUAAAGAAGCACAUAUCUGAGAGUAACUGUUCAUGUAUUGUCGGUAUUUAACCAGAAAGCCACGGCUAACUACGUGCCAGCAGCCGCGGUAAUAAGUAGGUGGCGAGCGUUGUCUUUGAUUUAUUGGGCGUAAAGAGAGCGCAGGCGGUUUUUUUAGUAUUAUGUGAAAGCCUUCGUCUCAACAGAAGAAGUGCAUCGGAAAGUGGGAGACUUGAGUGCAGAAGAGGAGCAGUGGAACUCCAUGUGUAGCGGUGAAAUGAGUAGAUAUAUGGAAGAACACCAGUGGCGAGGGCGGCUGUGUGGUCUGUAACUGACGCUGAGGCUCGAAAGUAGUGGGUAGCAAACAGGAUUAUAUACCCUGGUAGUCCAUACACGUAAAAAAAGAGUGCUAAGUGGGGAGGGUUCCGCCCCUCAGUGCUGCAGAUAAACAACAUUAACCUUCCUCUUGGG
This 551-nucleotide ribosomal RNA is filed under the name Lactiplantibacillus plantarum. Its description in RNAcentral is "bacterial SSU rRNA". It matches the Rfam family "Bacterial small subunit ribosomal RNA", at positions 335 to 877 of the family's 1533-position model. Lineage: Bacteria; Bacillati; Bacillota; Bacilli; Lactobacillales; Lactobacillaceae. The record is from RNAcentral.